UUUCUCCAUCCUUGUAAUCAAAUUUGAGCAAAAUCAAAUGGGGCUUUCUAUGAAAGUACCUUUUGUUGAUCUGAACGAGCUGGUAAUUUACAAAAUACCCUUCCUUUGUGAGGAAGGCUAGAGAAAAAAAAAAGAAUCAGUAGCUUUUAAAGCUGGGCCUUAGUGGGACUCUAAAUGCAAUGAAAGCAGUCUGUGUUGAGAGAUUGAAAUGCAUUUCAAAGCCAGGCCUGACUCGGGGUACAAGGAAGAACAGACCUGUGGGCAUUUUGUAGGGAGAAAAAUGUGAAUGGGAAAGGGCGAAAGGGAGAGAAACAAGGGGGGAAAUCUGGAGAAUACGUGAAAGUAGCUGUGAUUUUGGAGAUCCAUUCGUCUUACUGAAAUUGGGUACGGAAGCAGUGAUACCGAAGUCGGAUGUUUGCUCUAUCAGGAUGCUCAACACUUUGAGCCUUUAAAGUUUGGAGCUGCGUGGGUUUGUGGAGAAGUCGGCUCAUGAUAUUUCCUCGUGGCAGCGACUCUCCUUCACCUCUUUGAAUUCAGAAGGAUGGCAUAGACAUCGUAACAACA
Long non-coding RNA from Pipistrellus kuhlii (Kuhl's pipistrelle), 564 nucleotides. RefSeq lists it as uncharacterized. The transcript has 2 exons. The record is from RefSeq and is a predicted model, not a curated record. NCBI's taxonomy places the organism in Eukaryota, Metazoa, Chordata, Mammalia, Chiroptera, Vespertilionidae.